UACAGAGGUCCCAAGCGUUGUUCGGAUUUAUUGGGCUUAAAGGGUGCGUAGGCGGCCUGUUAAGUCAGUGGUGAAAUCCAACAGCUCAACUGUUGAUGUGCCAAUGAUACUGACAGGCUUGAGUACAGACGAGGUAGGCGGAAUUGACAGUGUAGCGGUGAAAUGCAUAGAUAUUGUCAAGAACACCGAUAGCGAAGGCAGCUUGCUAGCCUGUAACUGACGCUGAGGCGCGAAAGUGUGGGGAUCAAACAGG
Molecule: ribosomal RNA, 253 nt
Filed under: uncultured bacterium
Lineage: Bacteria
Description: partial 16S ribosomal RNA
Rfam family: Bacterial small subunit ribosomal RNA
Source: RNAcentral